RNAcentral lists this ribosomal RNA (253 nucleotides) under uncultured bacterium. RNAcentral describes it as "partial 16S ribosomal RNA". It matches the Rfam family "Bacterial small subunit ribosomal RNA", at positions 524 to 776 of the family's 1533-position model. The record is from RNAcentral.
UACGGAGGGUGCAAGCGUUAUCCGGAAUGAUUGGGCGUAAAGCGUCCGCAGGUGGCAGUUCAAGUCUGCUGUCAAAGACCGGGGCUCAACCUCGGAAAGGCAGUGGAAACUGAACAGCUAGAGUAUGGUAGGGGCAGAGGGAAUUCCUGGUGUAGCGGUGAAAUGCGUAGAGAUCAGGAAGAACAUCGGUGGCGAAGGCGCUCUGCUGGACCAUAACUGACGCUCAGGGACGAUAGCUUGGGGAGCGAAUAGG